CCUGGAUGCAGCACUCUCCAACUAUCAUAUAGGUUGUGUAGUGUGAGCAGUUUGGACACUGCUUUGCACAUGGAAUUUACGGUCGCCUGUCUCGUCCCCUGAGGUAGGGCAGUUGUGUCAACAUCUGGGGAAGUGAAGAAAUUAAAGUCUCCGCAGAGCACCAGUCUACCUUGCCUAUAUUUAUCUAUGUCUUGCAGAAGACGUCUGAGGUAUUUUUCCGUCCCAGUGUUUGGAAAGUAGGCAGAUACCAAGGUAUAUUGGGCGUUAUUAAAAAGACCUACUAGUAAGACAUAUCUCCCUUGGGC
Molecule: non-coding RNA, 305 nt
Organism: Pelobates cultripes (western spadefoot toad)
Lineage: Eukaryota; Metazoa; Chordata; Amphibia; Anura; Pelobatidae
Source: the annotation of a GenBank genome assembly